Non-coding RNA from Oncorhynchus mykiss (rainbow trout), 4648 nucleotides. NCBI's taxonomy places the organism in Eukaryota, Metazoa, Chordata, Actinopteri, Salmoniformes, Salmonidae. The record is from RefSeq and is a predicted model, not a curated record.
GGUUGUAAAAAAAGAAUGUUUGACAGGGUUUGGCUAAAAGAGGACAAGGGGGCGGUAGUAAGCGAGUCCGACGUGUGUACGAAUCAACAUUGAACUUACUUUUUGUAUGUCGGCCACACGGCGCGGCGAGUUGAUUUGUAUGCGACGAUUCAUUUGGGGAAGACAGCAACAGCGCAUAGUACUACAGGACGUCGCGGAUCAUUUCAAUGUUUUGCACCGGGAAGCACGACUAGCACAGUAACACCGCGAUUCAUAUUUAAAAGGUAUAAUGCGAAUGGUUAGAAGAGCUCGAAUUCAAACAAAAUGGAAACAAUUUAGAAUCGCUGCGGCAUUCCAUGUAGCCAGAAGGACUACUAGGGUAGAACAUAGCUGGAUAGAGAGCUAGUUAUUAACUAAUAUACAUGCGAAGUUACAUAUCAGAAAAGCUCAAACAGAGCCUAUAGUAAGUUGGUUGAAACUAUUAGUUCGUUGGUGUCCCCAGUCACCAAAGAAGACUGAAGAAAAUACUGAAAUAUGCUACGGAGAAGACUGAACCGUUUGUUUGGUAGGGACGAGAGGAAAGUAGACAGCAGGACCAUCUACGUAGGUCACCGGCCCUGUCCCGCCACCGAAGCUUUAAUCCCCCCCAAGUUCUGUGACAACCGGAUUGUCUCUUCCAAGUACACGGUGUGGAACUUUCUGCCAAAGAAUCUGUUUGAGCAGUUCAGAAGAAUCGCCAAUUUCUACUUCCUCAUCAUCUUUUUGGUGCAGGUGAUCGUAGACACCCCCACCAGCCCAGUCACUAGUGGCCUACCCCUGUUCUUUGUCAUCACUGUCACAGCCAUCAAACAGGGCUAUGAGGACUGGCUGCGGCACAAGGCAGAUAAUGAGGUGAAUAAAUACCUGGUGACGGUGCUGGAGGACGGCCGGAGAGCAUGCAAGGAGAGCGAGAAGAUCAAGGUUGGGGAUGUGGUGGAGGUGGUUGAGGAUGAGACCUUUCCCUGUGACCUCAUCCUGCUACAGUCCAGCCGGGAGGACGAGACCUGCUUUGUCACCACGGCCAGUCUGGACGGGGAGUCCAACCAUAAGACACACUACACAGUGCCAGACACGGAGAGGAACCUGGAGUCUCUCAGCGCCACCAUCGAGUGCGAGCAGCCGCAGCCUGACCUCUACAAAUUUGUGGGGCGUAUGCACAUCUACAGGAACAACCAGGAACCCGCUGUGAGGUCUUUGGGUCCAGAGAAUCUCCUCCUGAAAGGUGCUACCUUGAAGAACACUCAGAAGAUAUAUGGUGUGGCAGUUUACUCAGGCAUGGAGACCAAGAUGGCUCUGAACUACCAGGGGAAGUCCCAGAAGCGCUCUGCGGUGGAGAAGUCUAUCAAUGCCUUCCUGCUGGUGUACCUGUGCAUCCUGGUGAGCAAGGCCCUGGUGUGCACCACGCUCAAGUAUGUGUGGCAGAACCGACCAGGCCAGGACGAGCCCUGGUACAACCAGAAGACGCAAAAGGAGAAAGAUGCCAACCUGUACCUGAAGAUGUUUACUGACUUCCUGUCGUUCAUGGUUCUGUUCAACUUCAUCAUCCCCGUGUCCAUGUACGUGACGGUGGAGAUGCAGAAGUUCCUGGGCUCCUUCUUCAUCUCCUGGGACAAGGACUUCUUUGACCCCGAGAUCCAGGAAGGGGCUCUGGUCAACACAUCCGACCUCAAUGAGGAGCUGGGACAGGUGGAGUACGUGUUCACGGACAAGACGGGCACGCUGACCCAGAACAACAUGGAGUUCAUCGAGUGCUGCAUCGACGGCUUCCAGUACAAGUACGCCGACUCAGGCACCGAGCUGGACGGCUUCUGUGUCACAGAUGGACCCGUGAACAUUCUGCAGCAGAAGGCUGGCAGGGAGAAGGAGGAGCUGUUCCUGCGUGCUCUGUGUCUGUGCCACACGGUGCAGGUGAAGGAGGCUACGGGUCAGGGGGAUGGAGUAGCAGACGGUGUAGAGGACCAGGUGGACGGUGUCAUGGGGCUGGAUGGAGAGACGGUCGGGCCUGCGGACCUCGGGGGCUUCAUUGCCUCCUCACCCGACGAGGUGGCACUGGUCAAGGGAGCCAUGAAGUACGGUUUCAAAUUCCUUGGUAUGGAGAGCAAGAACAUGAGAGUGAUGAACAGAAACAACGAUGUUGAAACGUACGAACUGCUUCACGUGUUGAACUUUGACCCGGUGCGAAGGCGUAUGAGUGUGAUAGUCCGAACCAAAUCAGGGGACACCAUGCUGUUCUGUAAGGGGGCCGACUCCUCUAUCUUCCCCCGUGUCAGGCAGGAGGAGGUGGACAGGAUACGCAUGCACGUGGAACGCAACGCUACGGAGGGCUACCGGACGCUGUGUGUGGCCUACAAGCUGCUGAGCAGGGAGGAGUAUGACCAGGCAGACACGGGGCUGAGGGAAGCCAAGCUGGCCCUGCAGGACCGAGAGGAGAAACUCAUGGCUGUGUACAACCAGGUGGAGACCGGGAUGAGCCUGAUCGGCGCUACCGCCGUGGAGGACAGGUUGCAGGAGGAGGCAGCCGAGACCAUGGAGGCCCUGCAGGGAGCAGGCAUGAAGGUGUGGGUGCUGACGGGGGACAAGAUGGAGACGGCCAAGUCCACGUGCUAUGCCUGCCGGCUGUUCCAGAGGAGCACAGAGCUGCUGGAGCUGACGGUGCGAACCCUGGUGGACCUGGGGAGGAAGAGAGAGGAGCGCCUGCACGAGCUGCUGCUAGACUACCACAAGAGGGCAGUACAGGACGCCCCACCGAUCAAGGCUGGGGUCACCAGGAGCUGGUCUUCAGCGAACCAGGACUACGGCUUCAUCAUAGACGGAGCCACUCUGUCCUUGGUGCUUAACUCCUCUCCGGAAUCCAACUCCAGCUGCUACAAGAGUCUCUUCCUCCAGAUCUGUCAGAACUGUACCACUGUGCUGUGCUGUCGCAUGGCUCCCCUACAGAAGGCCCAGAUAGUAAAGAUGGUGAAGAACUGUAAAGGCAGCCCCAUCACCCUCUCCAUCGGAGAUGGGGCCAACGAUGUCAGUAUGAUCCUGGAGGCACACGUUGGCAUCGGUAUAAAGGGUAGGGAGGGUCGCCAGGCAGUGAGGAACAGUGACUAUGCCAUCCCUAAGCUCAAGCACCUGAAGAAACUGUUACUGGGACACGGGCACCUCUACUACGUUCGUAUUGCCCACCUGGUGCAAUACUUCUUCUACAAGAACCUCUGCUUCAUCUUACCUCAGUUCUUGUACCAGUUUUUCUGUGGAUACUCCCAGCAACCUCUCUACGACGCAGCCUAUCUGACGAUGUACAACAUCUGUUUCACCUCCAUGCCUAUCCUGGCCAACAGCCUCUUGGAGCAGCACAUCUGUAUGGAGGUCCUGAUGGACAACGCCGCCCUCUACAGGGACGUAGCAAAGAAUGCCAUGUUGGGUUGGGGGCCCUUCCUGUACUGGACACUACUGGGGGUCUACCAGGGCCUCUUAUUCUUCUUCGGGGUCCGCUUUCUCUUUAGUAACCCCGCCCUGCAGGAUAAUGGCCAGGUGUUUGGGAAUUGGUCGUACGGAACGAUUGUUUUUACUGUCCUCGUUUUCACUGUGACGCUGAAGCUGGCUAUGGACACUCGCCAUUGGACGUGGAUCAAUCACUUUGUCAUCUGGGGCUCGCUGGCCUUCUACAUGUUCUUCAGCUUCUUCUGGGGUGGGAUCAUAUGGCCUUUCCUUCGGCAGCAGCGUCUCUACUUUGUGUUUGCUAAUAUGCUGAGCUCUGUGUCAGCCUGGCUGAUCAUCAUCCUGCUCAUCCUGCUCAGCCUGUUGCCUGAGAUCCUGCUGCUGGUCCUCCGAAAGCCCCGUGGGCCCCACUCACGACAGGUGAAUGCAGCACGCAAACAAAUGAGAUUUACCUGCAUGCCAGCGUGCUCCAGACCCCAGCCAACCCUGGACCCCACCACAACCGCAGUGGGCCACUACAGACAUUUCUGGGUGGUUGUGUGUUGCUAUGAAUGUGUCUUUUUAAUCAUAACUUUCUAGUUAAUGUCACCCAAAUGCCCCAAAGGAUAUUUGAAGUAUUUGGAUAGCUGUACCAAUAAUGUGUAUUAGUCUAUUAAGAUGGCUUUGUGUUGACCUUAAAUAAUGCGACAUUAAGAACGACGCAAGCUUUCUAAAACAUUGACCCUCCUGGGUAGAGGAGAGAGAAUUCACCAAGGAGAGUGUGUGUUUUAAACUACAUUACAUUGUCCAACUUCUGUCUCAAGUGUGUAAGUGUCUGUCUGUCAGCACGAGGUGCCAUUAGUGUCUCUUGCUUCACCCUUCCAGAAGAAGCCAGUGGUUCAGUCGGGCGUGGGGGAAACCCAGUCUCCCCGGUCUUCAGCCAGGCCCCUGCUCAUGAAAACCUUUUCAGACGAGUCCAAUACUAUCCUAUGAACAGCCUUCAGAGGACUCCCUCCUAAAAACAUCCAGAUCGCUGCUGUCACGCCCUUGUCCUACAAGCACCUGAUCGGGCAGGAGUGAAGGGCAGAACGGAGGGUUAACUAUACUGCGGCCAGUGUCUUUCAGGCCCCCAUGGCAGUCAAGCUGGCUGCCAGCACUUUUGCCUGAUCUAAAAAGAAAAUGGAAAUUGACAAAAAGAAAAUAGAAAAGAUGCUAGAAGAGCCAG